CGGUGUGCCUCAUACAUGCAAGUCGAACGAGAAGUACCUUCGGGUAAUGGAAAGUGGCGGACGGGUGAGUACAACAUAGGAAAUCUGCCCUAAAGCGGGGGACAACAGAGGGAAACUCCUGCUAAUACCCCAUAUGAGCUUAGUUGAAAUACUAAUCUUGAAAGAUUUAUCACUUUAGGAUGAGCCUGUGCCUGAUUAGCUGGUUGGUGGUGUAAUGGACUACCAAGGCGACGAUCAGUAGCUGGUUUGAGAGGAUGAUCAGCCACAAUGGGACUGAGACACGGCCCAUACUCCUACGGGAGGCAGCAGUAGGGAAUUUUGCGCAAUGGGGGAAACCCUGAACCGCAGCAACACCGCGUGAAUGUUAAGCCCUUCGGGGUGUAAAGUUCUGUCAAUAGGGAAGAAUAAAUGACUGUACCUAUAAAGGAAGCACCGGCUAACUCCGUGCCAGCCGCUGC
RNAcentral lists this ribosomal RNA (458 nucleotides) under uncultured bacterium. RNAcentral describes it as "bacterial SSU rRNA". It matches the Rfam family "Bacterial small subunit ribosomal RNA", at positions 40 to 518 of the family's 1533-position model. The record is from RNAcentral.